This 91-nucleotide non-coding RNA is filed under the name Mycobacterium celatum. Lineage: Bacteria; Bacillati; Actinomycetota; Actinomycetes; Mycobacteriales; Mycobacteriaceae. The record is from RNAcentral.
AUGUGACGACGAGGAAACCGGUGCAUAUUCCGGUGCGGUCGCGCCACUGUGACCAGCGUUCGACGCUGGAAGUCAGACCUUCUCGUCACAU